Molecule: ribosomal RNA, 276 nt
Filed under: uncultured Sphingobacteriales bacterium
Lineage: Bacteria; Pseudomonadati; Bacteroidota; Sphingobacteriia; Sphingobacteriales
Description: partial 16S ribosomal RNA
Rfam family: Bacterial small subunit ribosomal RNA
Source: RNAcentral
UUAGUUUGCCCAUCAGGUAAAUGGCUGGGGACUCUAAAGGAACUGCCUACGCAAGUAGUGAGGAAGGCGGGGAUGACGUCAAAUCAGCACGGCCCUUACGUCCAGGGCUACACACGUGCUACAAUGGCCGAUACAGAGGGCAGCUACCUGGUGACAGGAUGCAAAUCUCCAAAGUCGGUCUCAGUUCGGAUCGGAGUCUGCAACCCGACUCCGUGAAGUUGGAUUCGCUAGUAAUCGCGCAUCAGCCAUGGCGCGGUGAAUACGUUCCCGGGCCUU